Molecule: ribosomal RNA, 789 nt
Filed under: uncultured Mycobacterium sp.
Lineage: Bacteria; Bacillati; Actinomycetota; Actinomycetes; Mycobacteriales; Mycobacteriaceae
Description: bacterial SSU rRNA
Rfam family: Bacterial small subunit ribosomal RNA
Source: RNAcentral
AAAGAGCUCGUAGGUGGUUUGUCGCGUUGUUCGUGAAAUCUCACGGCUUAACUGUGAGCGUGCGGGCGAUACGGGCAGACUUGAGUACUGCAGGGGAGACUGGAAUUCCUGGUGUAGCGGUGGAAUGCGCAGAUAUCAGGAGGAACACCGGUGGCGAAGGCGGGUCUCUGGCAGUAACUGACGCUGAGGAGCGAAAGCGUGGGGAGCGAACAGGAUUAGAUACCCUGGUAGUCCACGCCGUAAACGGUGGGUACUAGGUGUGGGUUUCCUUCCUUGGGAUCCGUGCCGUAGCUAACGCAUUAAGUACCCCGCCUGGGGAGUACGGCCGCAAGGCUAAAACUCAAAGAAAUUGACGGGGGCCCGCACAAGCGGCGGAGCAUGUGGAUUAAUUCGAUGCAACGCGAAGAACCUUACCUGGGUUUGACAUGCACAGGACGCCGGCAGAGAUGUCGGUUCCCUUGUGGCCUGUGUGCAGGUGGUGCAUGGCUGUCGUCAGCUCGUGUCGUGAGAUGUUGGGUUAAGUCCCGCAACGAGCGCAACCCUUGUCUCAUGUUGCCAGCGGGUAAUGCCGGGGACUCGUGAGAGACUGCCGGGGUCAACUCGGAGGAAGGUGGGGAUGACGUCAAGUCAUCAUGCCCCUUAUGUCCAGGGCUUCACACAUGCUACAAUGGCCGGUACAAAGGGCUGCGAUGCCGCGAGGUUAAGCGAAUCCUUUUAAAGCCGGUCUCAGUUCGGAUCGGGGUCUGCAACUCGACCCCGUGAAGUCGGAGUCGCUAGUAAUCGCAGAUC